RNAcentral lists this ribosomal RNA (192 nucleotides) under uncultured Acidovorax sp. Its description in RNAcentral is "partial 16S ribosomal RNA". It matches the Rfam family "Bacterial small subunit ribosomal RNA", at positions 340 to 524 of the family's 1533-position model. RNAcentral also lists the same sequence under 1 other name. The record is from RNAcentral. Lineage: Bacteria; Pseudomonadati; Pseudomonadota; Betaproteobacteria; Burkholderiales; Comamonadaceae.
UACGGGAGGCAGCAGUGGGGAAUUUUGGACAAUGGGCGAAAGCCUGAUCCAGCCAUGCCGCGUGCAGGAUGAAGGCCUUCGGGUUGUAAACUGCUUUUGUACGGAACGAAAAGACUCUGGUUAAUACCUGGGGUCCAUGACGGUACCGUAAGAAUAAGCACCGGCUAACUACGUGCCAGCAGCCGCGGUAAU